GAUGAACGCUGGCGGCGUGCCUAAUACAUGCCAGUCGAGCGAACAGAUGAGGAGCUUGCUCCUCUGACGUUAGCGGCGGACGGGUGAGUAACACGUGGAUAACCUACCUAUAAGACUGGGAUAACUUCGGGAAACCGGAGCUAAUACCGGAUAAUAUAUUGAACCGCAUGGUUCAAUAGUGAAAGACGGUUUUGCUGUCACUUAUAGAUGGAUCCGCGCCGCAUUAGCUAGUUGGUAAGGUAGCGGCUUACCAAGGCAACGAUGCGUAGCCGACCUGAGAGGGUGAUCGGCCACACUGGAACUGAGACACGGUCCAGACUCCUACGGGAGGCAGCAGUAGGGAAUCUUCCGCAAUGGGCGAAAGCCUGACGGAGCAACGCCGCGUGAGUGAUGAAGGUCUUCGGAUCGUAAAACUCUGUUAUUAGGGAAGAACAAAUGUGUAAGUAACUAUGCACGUCUUGACGGUACCUAAUCAGAAAGCCACGGCUAACUACGUG
Molecule: ribosomal RNA, 497 nt
Filed under: uncultured bacterium
Lineage: Bacteria
Description: partial 16S ribosomal RNA
Rfam family: Bacterial small subunit ribosomal RNA
Source: RNAcentral